RNAcentral lists this ribosomal RNA (492 nucleotides) under uncultured bacterium. RNAcentral's name for it is "partial 16S ribosomal RNA". It matches the Rfam family "Bacterial small subunit ribosomal RNA", at positions 29 to 507 of the family's 1533-position model. The record is from RNAcentral.
AGUGAACGCUGGCGGUAGGCCUAACACAUGCAAGUCGAACGGCAGCACAGUAAUAGCGUGCUCUUACGGGUGGCGAGUGGCGGACGGGUGAGGAAUACAUCGGAACCUACUUUUUCGUGGGGGAUAACGUAGCGAAACUUACGCUAAUACCGCAUACGACCUACGGGUGAAAGCAGGGGAUCUUUGGAUCUUGCGCGAUUGAAUGAGCCGAUGUCGGAUUAGCUAGUUGGCGGGGUAAAGGCCCACCAAGUCGACGAUCCGUAGCUUGUCUGAGAGGCUGAUCAGCCACACUGGAACUGAGACACGGUCCAGACUCCUACGGGAGGCAGCAGUGUGGAAUAUUGGACAAUGGGCGCAAACCUGGUCCAGCCAUCCCACGUGGGUGAAGAAGGCGUUCGGGUUGUAAAGACCUUUUGUUGGGAAAGAAAAGCAGUAGCUUGAUACCCCGCUGUUCUGACGGUACCCAAUGAAUAAGCACCGGCUAACUUCGUG